AGGAAUAUUUCCCGCAAGCAGAUGCCCUAAUGUCCAACCAGAAGUGAAACUGGCGCUGGAUCUGGAGAGGUGGAGACCCGUGGCCAGCUUCUGUCGCUGCUAUCUGCCAUUGUGUUUUGGUUGCUUUCGGUUUUGCAAGAAGCAUGGCCUCUGUCUCCCUCCGACCUGC
Non-coding RNA from Callithrix jacchus (white-tufted-ear marmoset), 169 nucleotides. The record is from Rfam. NCBI's taxonomy places the organism in Eukaryota, Metazoa, Chordata, Mammalia, Primates, Cebidae.